Molecule: ribosomal RNA, 253 nt
Filed under: uncultured bacterium
Lineage: Bacteria
Description: partial 16S ribosomal RNA
Rfam family: Bacterial small subunit ribosomal RNA
Source: RNAcentral
UACAGAGGUGGCAAGCGUUGUCCGGAAUUACUGGGCGUAAAGGGCGCGUAGGUGGCCUUCUUAGUCAGACGUGAAAUCCCCAGGCUUAACCUGGGAACUGCGUCUGAUACUGGAAGGCUCGAGUUCGGGAGAGGAAUGUGGAAUUCCAGGUGUAGCGGUGAAAUGCGUAGAUAUCUGGAGGAACACCGGUGGCGAAGGCGGCAUUCUGGACCGAAACUGACGCUGAGGCGCGAAAGCCAGGGGAGCAAACGGG